GGAAGUAAAGUCGUAACAAGGUUUCCGUAGGUGAACCUGGGGAAGGAUCAUUAUUGUAUAACCGAGGUGCGAGGGCUGUCGCUGACCCGAAAGGUCGUGCACGCCCGAGUGCCCUCACACACAUCCAUCUCACCCCUAUGUGCACCACCGCGUGGGUCCCCCUUUGGCUUGUUCGGAGGGGGGCUUACGUUUUCACACAAACUUUGUAUGCAGUGUAGAAUGUAUUUUUUGUUUUUGCGAUCACGCAAUCAAUACAACUUUCAACAACGGAUCUCUUGGCUCUC
RNAcentral lists this unclassified non-coding RNA (284 nucleotides) under plant metagenome. RNAcentral's name for it is "partial contains small subunit ribosomal RNA, internal transcribed spacer 1, and 5.8S ribosomal RNA". The stretch from base 1 to 53 matches the Rfam family "Eukaryotic small subunit ribosomal RNA", at positions 1778 to 1831 of the family's 1831-position model. The record is from RNAcentral.